ACAACGGCCCUUAUAAGGGCCAACACAUAAUUCAAAAAGGAAUUUA
Molecule: non-coding RNA, 46 nt
Organism: Beta vulgaris subsp. vulgaris (sugar beet)
Lineage: Eukaryota; Viridiplantae; Streptophyta; Magnoliopsida; Caryophyllales; Amaranthaceae
Source: Rfam